Non-coding RNA from Sus scrofa (pig), 11967 nucleotides. NCBI's taxonomy places the organism in Eukaryota, Metazoa, Chordata, Mammalia, Artiodactyla, Suidae. The record is from RefSeq and is a predicted model, not a curated record.
UUGAGAUAUACCUGAUGUACCGUAUUUUAUGUUUCAGGUAUACAACAUAGUGAGUCACAGUUUUAAAGUUUAUAUUCCAUUUUGUAGUUAUUAUAAAAUAUUGGCUAUAUUCCCUGUGCUGAACAAUAUGUCCUUACGGCUCAUUUUAUCCAUGGUAGUCUGUCUCCUAAUCCCCUCCCCUAAUCUUGCCCCCCCUUCCCUCUCCCCACUGCUAACCACUAGUUUGCUCUCUAUAUCUGAGUCAGUUUUGUUUGUAUGUUCACGGAUUUGUUUUAACUUUUAGAUUCCAUGUGUAAGUGAUUGCAUACAGUAUUUAUCUUCCUCUGCCUGACUUACUUCACUAAACAAACCACCCUCUACAUCUACCCAUGUUGCUGCAAAUGGCAAGUUUUCAUCUUUUUGUGGCGGAAUACUUUAUGUCGAGUGUGUCUGUGCACCCAGAUCUUAUCCAAGCAUCUGUGGAUGGACACUUAGGGCGUGUCCAUAUCCUGGCAUUGUAAAUACUGUGGCUGUGAACUUCAGGAUACACGUGUCUUUUCAAAUUAGUGUGUUCGUUUUCUUCAGAUAGAUACGCAGGAGUGGAACUGCGGCAUCCUACGGCAGUUCUGUUUUGAGUUUUUUGAGGAAGUGCUUCAUUCCUUUUCACCCAUUGUGGAAGAUGGACCACCUUUCAUUUAUCUAUUCACCCGCAGACGCACCCAGGGAGGAUUUUAGUAUCAGCCUGAGCUGAACUUGAAAAGAAUAGACAAGGAAUAACAUUCUCUAUCUCCCGAUCCGGUCACUAUUUGGUACCUGGGCCAGAAGAGUAGGCACCGCUCUGAGCCUCCUAAUUCGUGCUGAACUUGGUCAGCCUGGGCCCUUGCUCAGUGAUGCUCAGAUUUGUCAUGUAAUUGUCACAGCCCAUGCCUUUGUCAUAAUUUUCUUCAUAGUCAUAAAAUGCUAGAAGAAAGCUCGUGACGGUUAUAAGGAGGGAUGUUCAUUUUAGGUAGUGAGGCAUAGUUCUGUGUGGGGCUGUUAUUGGGGGAAUGUUGUUAGAGGUGAAGAAUCUGGGUAGAAUGCUUCUGAUUAGGAGACAUUUGAUGGAAUUAAUUAAAAAUGUGACAGGAGUUCCCGUCGUCAUGGUACAGUGGUUAACCUAUCCGACCAGGAACCAUGAGGUUGCGGGUUCGAUCCCUGCCCUUGCUCAGUGGGUUAAGGAUCCGGCAUUGCCGUGAGCUGUGGUGUAGGUCACAGACGCGGCUCAGAUCCCGCGUUGCUGUGGCUCUGGUGUAGGCAGGGGGCUACAGGUCCGAUUUGACCCCUAGCCUGGGAACCUCCAUAUGCUGCGGGAGCGGCCCUAGAAAAAGGCAAAAAGACAAAAAAAAAAAAAAGUGACAAAAUCAGGGAUUGAGGAAGAUUACUGGGGAGGCCUGCAAAGAUGAGAUGCGCAGGGAGGCAGAAAUGGGGUGUGAUGGACUCUGGCGCUUCCUUCUGCUAAUGGAAGAGAAAUGUCAAGGUCACCCAGGACAUCCUUAUGCGAGGGCUAAACCUGACCUCUGUCUGCAGCGCUGACCAUGAAGCCAUAAAACCACAGGCUGAAAAGAGCUCUUGUUCCGGGAGGUGGGAGAGAGCCCCAGCGUGGUUUCAACAUCGUCUCCUAGUUCUCCCUGAAGCUCUGUUGAGAAGCACAUACCGCCCUCCUUCCUGGAAUGUGCGUGACUGGUCGCUGCCCUGGCACAGCCAUCUGCCAAAUCCUGUUGUUCAGGAAGUGAAUGAUGCCCUUGUCCUCGUUGGUAAUGGCCCGUGUUGUACAAAGGCCCUUUGCUGCAUGUGGGGGGCGGGCAGGGGUGCCCUGUCCAGGCACCUGUGAGCCACACUGACAAUGAGCUCUCUCAGCCCAGCCAGGGUGGGAGCCCUGGGGUGCAGCCUGUCCCUGCUCAUCCAGUGCUGCCUCCAAGCAGGAGCAUCCAGGGACAAAGCCACAAAGAGGCCAGGAAGCAGAGGAGCAGGGGCUGUGUCCUCUGCAGGCAGGGGGGGGGGCGGGCAGAGGGGCUGUGCUGACACAUCAGGCUUCCUUAGAUUUGGGCAGGGCUUGCCAGCUGUCGGACAGGCACCUCCAUCCACACAGGGGCAUCCUCCCUGCUCCGGACCCCCCCCCGCACCAGCAUUCCUUCCACCACACUUUCAUCCCCGCCCUCCCCGUUCCUGGUGGUGGCUGUCCAGUUGAGCCCUGCUUUCCUCUGAUCCCCUCGUCCUUGCACUUGAGUUUCUCAAGGAGAGGAAGGGAGAGUGAGAGAAAGGAAAGCAAACAGAAACGGGUGUAGUUGGGGCCAGGAGGGCUGAUGAAGGCAAAUACAGACAAAAAUGUGGAAAUUUCCUGGGGGUAUGUUGUCAUCAGCACACAUGUGUGGGCAGACUGCCUGGGAUUGAGUCCUGGCCUUGCUAUUUAGGAGCUGUGUGAUCCAGGAUAAGUUGCUUAACCUCUCUGUGCCUCAGUUUCCUCAGUAAAAACGGUGGUUGAUAGUACAUAGCUCCUGGGUUGUGAGGGUGACAUUAGUUAGUGUGUAUUUGGUUUUAGAACAGAGGGUGGCUCACAUCAAUGACCUAACAUGGUAGCUGUUUUGUGCCAGUGUUUGUGUACUAUUCUCACGAUGGUACCCACACAAGUCCCAGCUGUCACCCACACAAGCCCCGGCUCUCUGCCCUGAGCAGGCAUCCUGCUCACCUCACAGCCCCAGAGACUGCUUUGUUCCCUGUUAAGGGACAGCCAGGACCCUGGGAGGCUGGGGGUAAUAACUGGGUGAGGGGUUUAUACCCUCUGUUGUUUUGCUUGGGGCAGAAGGAAUUGAUGACAUCCAGUCAUGACCUGAUUUUAUGGUUCUGAGAUGGUGGGAGACAAGCUCCAUGACCUAUAAACCCAGAGGGCACUUGACAAAGGGGUGAGCAUCGUAGGAGGCCAGCGGGCUCCUUCCUCCAGACAUAUCUGUGCUGAGCUCAGAGAAAGGGGCUCUGGAAUGGGGUGUGUCCUGGCCCAGAGUCACAGUCCCGUUCUCUGGACCCCACCUGCCGCCUGGGGAUUAGGUGCCGGCUCAGUGUUUUGGGUCCCACACAGGGGACUUUCCAAGGGUCUCCUGUAACAAGCGCCAGGCCAUCCACCGGUAAGGGGUGAUGUCGUGAAGCCCCGCAGAGGGCGACCACAGCCUUCAGCUCUGUACUUAACCUCCUGCCAUCAGCCUGGUAGACACAGGACAGGGUCCCUUCCCCAGGGCGAGUUUACAUUGACUCUGCAGGGCCAGCCUCACAAGCUGGCCGCCGUGGUACCUCCUGUUGGGAGGGGGGAGGGAUGAGGAGGAGGCUUUGUGGCUGAGGAGGGACCGGCGCUAAAGGAGGAAGACGAAGGUGGAGGAUGGGGAGUGGGUGUGAUUGUCCAGACCGGGUGACAAGACCAGAUUAGGGCGAUGGCAGAAGCGGCGCCUUGGGCUAUGACGGGGAGGGUCCAACUGCACUCAGGACAGCCUUGAAGUCCCGGCUGAACCACCGGCCUGACUCUAGAGGAAAUGCGUGGACUUAGGUGGGAAGGCACACAGACUCGUCCUCCAGCUACAGCCCAGCUGGGACACUUUCCCGGGUGGAGAGAGAGGGCGGGGGCAGCUCAGACAAGUGAAGAGACAGAACCAAGCCUGUCCCGCCGGCCCGGUCGCUAAACCAAAUACUCGCGAUGGGGAUGAUUGGUUAGGUUCUCUAGUUCUUCUAGUCUCCUAAUCCUCGGGGCUCGGGCACGGAUAAUCCAGGGCUACGUACACAUGAGUCUUCACAAGGCUGCACAAGAUCACAGUCUUGUCAGGAGGAGAAACUGAGGCUCUGGUUUAGGAGCUGCCCUCGAAUCACCAUGGAGCAGGACUGAGCGUGGGCUGCCCGCCCCUCCGCCCAGCCACCCGGCUUCUAAAUCUGGGUCUUUUCCCGCGUCUGAUCCAGAGAGGAGGGAAGGAUGUACCAAGACAGGGUCUUUGGACAGACAGCCGUUUCAAUAGCUCCUCCUUAGAGCUGGGGUGGGAAUGCCUCUCCCCCCACAUGCCUUCAGCCUAUUGGUGAGCGGGGAGCUGGAGCAAGUGUGAGGAUGUAGCCGGUUUAGAAGGAAAUAGCUUAAUCCUUGCGUGGGAUGGAGGAGGCAGGAAGGAGGGAGAUGUGAACCUGAGACCCGGGGCGUGUGACUGCGCCGUGGAAGCCUAAGGGUGUGAUGACCCUGCUGCCUGCCUCUCUCAGGGGGAUCGCCUUUGCUAACUGUGGGGGGCAGGGCGUAGGGCCCUAAUGGGGGACAGGGCCUCCCGGUGGGGGCUGACCCCUCUGACUUUGUCCCCCCACUCGGAAGCCACCACCCUUGUCGUUUGCCCUCUGAGAGUCCUCCUCCCUUGGGCCGCCCCCUGCCCUCUGUCCCUGGGGCCGUGACAUUGGCAGGGUGCCCAGCGGGGCAAAGACGGCAGCUGCAGGUCCUAGUCCCCAGUACGUGUGUGAGUGUGAAUGCGAGUGGGUUGGGAUGGGGGAGCGGCGGGGCUGGGAUCAUCCGCAGAUCAGAGCUCGGGAGUAGAGAGCUUCUAGCGGGUGGGGCCGCCCUACACGCUGGAGCCCGAGGACCUGCCCCUGGGACCACCACCAGCCUCAACACCCCUGGAGGCCAGAGCACGUCGGACAGGCACUGACCAGAGGAGCCUGGGAGGAGCUGUGGGGGUGAGUCAAACUUGGGACGGACUGGGUGUGGCUGGGCUGGGCGAGAUGGGGAGAAGCCAGGGAUGGAAAAGAGCUGCAGGUGGAGCAAGAAGAGGAGGGAAACGGGAGAGCAUCCUGCCUCAGCCCUUGUUGCUGCACAGUAGCCUCGCCCCUUUCCCGGGCCCUGCCACCAGGGGGCGCUGCGGGGGGGGCUGCCAAGCAGAGCCGCAAAGGUGUGAGAUGGAGGCAGAGUUACGGCCUUGUGGGCCCCAAAGGGGACGGUGGAUGGUCACCCCGUGUCCAGCGGCAGGACAGUGGGGCUCCCAGCCCAGGGUCCGGGUUCCUAGACCCUCCGCUCCUGCUGUCGGGGAGGGAGGAGCAGGCAGAGGGAGCUGAUCUGCCCAAGACCGCAGUGUGGCCUUUACCCCUGGGUGCCCACCAUGGCCCAGGCCCUGGAGAAGCUCUGGAAUAAAUACCUGUAGGCCUUAGAAAAGGGAGGUAGGAGGUGGUGUCACCUGAUAGUGGCUUUCCUUUGUCUAUUCCACCAGACAGAUGCCCGUCGUUUGGAGCAAGAGGAGAUGGUGACCAGCAGAGCCCCGGGAGCUGCCAGGGAGGGCUGGGUGGCAGGUGGGCCUGGUGGCCAGCUCCACUGCCCCCUUUCUUCUUGCUUUGCCAGACCUGAGGACCCAUUCCUGGUUCCUGGUACGCUCGCUGCUGCCUGUCACCCUCCUCUGGGCCUUCGACCUCCUCCUGGUGGUGGAGGGCCCCCGUCUCAUGUCCCAUGAGGAGCCUUUGAGGCUGGCAGGACCCCUGGCUGCCUACAACCUGGGCCUGAUGGUUCUCUCGGGGCACAUGUUCUAUGAGGUAAGGGCCCUGCAGAGUCCUAGGCUCUCUUUUUUUGGGGGGGGGUGACAGGGGAUAAAUAAAACCAUAAUCUUGCUAUGCAGAAAAGCUUUGAUGAGGACCCAUGGGGACCAGAGGCCAGGCCAUUUUGGGCUGCACUGUCUUCCUGGUGGAGACAGAAACCCCCGUCCCCUCACUCCCAUUCUCCUUUUCCUUUAAUGAAGAAAUAAGGGUCAGUGGCAAGCGAGAACGGAGUCCAUUCUCCACCUCACACCUAAAAGAACCCUCCACCCCCUCCUGGUUCUGCCUGGCCCAGUUUUCUGAGCCCUAAACCCAGUGAUCUUUCCAGAAGCCUUGCUUGCAGCCAACAGUCCAUCAGCCGGUGUGCACUGGGCAUGCGCCUUGUGCCAGGCGGGCCGAAUCCACAGGAUGACCGCUGGGUAAGGCACCCCGCCCUCCAGGUGCCCACGAUCUAGGGGGAGAUAGAUGGCGGAAACAGGAGGUUAGGAGAGGUGAGAGGAGGGGACAGGGCAGGCAGGAGAGGCAGGGCCCCAGCUGGGGUGUCAGGAAAGCCCCCCAGAGAAAGUGGUUCCGGUGGCCGGUGUGUAAAGUGGUCAUUGUGGCGGCGCAGGGCCUACACCCUUUGUGAAGAUCUGCUCAUGUCGUCCUCUGUCACGGUCGUGAGGCACAGGGCAGGUAGGUACCUUGGCAGGUGGCAGAGCGCCCUGGCCUCAGAUCUCACCUCCAUCCCGCCCGGCUCGGUGCCGCAGGAACCAGCAGGUGGUCCAGCCUGAGGAAGCAGGUCCUGACAGCUAAGUCCCCUUCACCGCCUCUCCCUUAGUGGCCUGCCUCCCUUCCUCCUGCUGCACUGCUGAUGGAAUGAUCCACGUGCCAUAAGAGGCACGCCACUGUCCCCUGCCACCUUGCCGGCUUCCCAGCCAGCGGGCUGAGUCCUUCCUCCGCUGGGUGUCCAGGGCCUCCCGGGUCCCCUCUGGCCUCACCCCUCCUUCCAGCCUCACUUGCUACACUCCCUGAGGUCGCCCUGUUCCCCUGCCUCUCAGCCCUGCUGGGUAAGGCCCCAGGCCCUGGCACAUGACUGGUUUUCUGCCUGGAAUGCCCUCCUCUUCUGGUGCCCUGACAAAUCCCCACAUGUCCCAUAGCCUCUGGCCUUUGUCACCCCUCACGAAGAUUCCCUGACUCCCCCAGGCUGGAUUAUUUGUCCCCUCCUUUGCUUUUCAUCUCUGCUCUCCCUGGUGCAGGGGGUGGCCCCACCAACCUGCCAGCUCUAAAUGUACGAGUCGUCUCCCAGUGCAGCGAUGUCCCUUGAAAUCAGCCGGGGGGGAGGAAUGGGCGCACACGGCCUUCAGCCCCCUGCCCCCUGGAGCCUGUGAAACCUUUACCAGCAAUACCCAGAUUCUAGGCUCCCCUGUUUUGCAACGGGCCUGUGUCUGCUCCAGAUGGUGAGGGUGUCAAAGGCAGGGCUGUCCCUUACUGCUCUUUGUAAAGACGGGCCCCCAUCAUGCCUGCUACCUUGUGAGGACAUGCCCCACAGAACGUGUCAUUUUUUUCUUUUUUCUGUGUGUUCUUCUUUUUGCCUUUUCUUGAGCCACUCCCAUGGCAUAUGGAGGUUCCCAGGCUAGGGGUCUAAUCAGAGCUGUAGCCACUGACCUAUGCCACAGCCACGCGGGAUCCGAGCCGCGUCUGCGACCCACACCACAGCUCACAGCAACGCCAGAUCCUUAACCCACUGACCAAGGCCAGGGAUCGAACCUGCAACCUCAUGGGUCCUGGUUGGAUUCAUUAACCACUGCGCCACGACGGGAACUCCCAGAACGCAUCAUUUAACUGUGGUCCCAGAUGACCCCGAGGCCACCAUGAUCCUUUGAAAGUCUGACGUGCCCAUGUCAGCUUCCUGCCCAGAAGCCCUUGGUAGCUGCCUUUGCCAAGAGUGCAUAGAGUCCCUCCUGGUGGGAUUUUUCUCUGUUUUAUCAAGGUGGCUCCGGGCUCAGAGCAGGGUCCAGCAUGGAAAGAUGCUUAGAACCAGUCAGUGCUUCAUUGUCAAGGGAAUAAAUGAAUGAUAAAAUUCAAGCUCCUUAAAACAGCCUUCAAGAGCCCUCAUUCAUCGAUUCCGCUCUUUCUCUGUGUCUGGGGCUGCCCCUCCCCUACUAGGAGCCUCCACUUGCAACUCCUGGAGUUAGGAGCUCCCUCCUCCUCCCCUCCGUGUACCCCCACCCAUCAUCGGAGAGGCUCUCAGCUUCUUGGGGCCGUGCUGAUGUGUGCAGAUCUUCCUGUCCCCUCCUGACGUCGGGUCCCAUACAUUGUAGGGCCCCAGGGCGGGUUUGUGGUCCAUAUUUGCCCACAUACAAAACACUGGAGACCAGCAAGAUGCACACAAGCCCCAGCCGUUGCUCUGGCCACUCCCUGGGCUUUAUCUGACUGGCAGUCAUUCACCAAGUGUCACUGGGGUUGGGGAGGGAUGGUUGGUGUCCAGAACGUGAUGGGAGGAGGCCACUGCCUCCAGGGCUUCAUUCAGGUCCCACCAGGGUGGGGGUGGGGCGGGCAUCACCACUUGAUCUUCUGUUCUCUUCCUCCUAGUUCAUGGCCACCUCGCUCCUGGCCAGCUACAGCUGCUUCUGCCAGCCGGUGAACUACAGCUGGAGUGAGCUGGGGUUAAGGGUAUGACAAGGAGUGGGAGGGUUGGGCCUGGAGAGAAGGGUCAUAGGAUGCAUUUCAAAAAAAACCAGAGCUCUAUCCAGGUGUCACCAUUCAAGACUUCGAUGGGAGGCCGUGAUCGGUUCAGUACAGGUUCAGAAGAUCUCACUGUGACUCUCAGCCCUGCCAGUUCCUUGCUGUGUGAUCAUGGGUUGCUUACUUACCUUAUACAGACCUCAAUUUUCUUAUCUAUAAAAUGGGAGAGUACUGCCUACUUUAUAAAAAGAAACAAUAGGAAGAAAAUGUUUGAAAGUAGUUUGCCCUGGGCCUGGCACACGCAAAGUGGUAGCUAAGUGGUAGAUAUCGGUUGUUUUUAUCUGUUCUCUCUUUCAACUGGAAGCAGAACAAAAGGCUUCCUUGCAGCACAAAAAAAUCAAGCUGAGGCUCAGCAAGUCACCAGGCAGUGAUGUGGGUAUUGAAUCAAGGAUCAUUGAACAGCGGGCUCAAGUCUUGCUGCUCAAAGUAUGGUCCACAGACCAGCGGCGUGAGCAUCUCCUGGGGGCUUGUUGGAAAAGUGGAACCUCAUGUUUCACCCCAGGCACGCUGGUUGGGAACCUGCUUUUCAACAAAAACCCUCAGGUGAUCCAUGUGCUGGUCAAGUCAUGGCUCCAGGAGUUCCCUGGUGGCCUAGCAGUUAAGGAUCUAGUGUUGUCACUACUGUGGCUUGAGUCACUGCUAUGGCUUGGGUUCAAUCCCUGGUACCGGUACUUCUGCAUCCUGCGGGUACAGCCAAAAAAGAAAAAAGGCCUGGCUCCAGUUUGGAGAAUCCUUCUGUUAUCAUUCCGAGCAGCUUCUCCCACUAUAUCCUAUGCUAAUGGGCAUUUUUUUUGCAGACAGGUAGGCACUGUGGGAGCAGGGGCUGCAGAGGGACAGUGAGGAUUGGGGCUGAAGUCAGUGUUGCCAGGGCCAGGGGUACCACCAGCAGGGUAGCAGUCUGACUGCAAUUCCCAUCUCUUCCCAGCAGAUGGCGAGCGUGUGCUGAUGGUGCUUCUCAAAGGCCAUUGAAUUACUGGUCGCAGGGAGUAAUUCACAGUGGGUGGUCAUCUUCCUAUCACGAAAGGAGUCAGAGCAAAUGAGCUUCCUGCACGUCUACCACCACAGCACCAUGCUCUUCAGAUAGUGGGCUGGGGUCAAAUAUGUGCCAGGGGUCAAGGGCCAAUGUGUGACCAUUGCUGCCUACUCCUCCUGCAGUCUCUUUGCCAAAGAGUGUCCGUUCCCUGGCAGGCUCAAUGUGACCAUUCUCCUGUUCACCCUCAGUCUCAUCAGCCUUUCCCUUAACUUCUACCACCAGACAUACCUGAGAGGCAAGUGGGAGAAGCUGACCUACAAGGUGGGGCCAAGGACUGAAACUAGCAGAGCCCUCCCCAUGGAGAGUUUGGUGAAAGAUGAUACGGCCCACAGCCCACCCGUGCUGAGCAGAUUCCUCUGGGCAAGUAUUUCAUCCUAUGAGGAAAGGACAAUAACAAUUCUCGCCGCCUUCCCAGAGUUCAGGAGGACAGAACUGGACCCAGCUUCCUGAACGCACAUCUCAUGUGGAUUCGUCACUAUUUGCACACCUCCUUCCUCUACUAAACGUGAGUCCUUCUGAGGAGGGACUGAACUCUCAGUGGUCCCCACCCCUGGCACAGUAUCUCAAUAAAUGUGCAUUUAGACCCCUAUAUUCCCCCAUGGGCAGUCAGGGCUGGGAGCAGGGCUGGGAGCAUGGGGAAGGCAAGGCUGGUUUGAUCUUCCCCUUGCAGGCAGAGAGGAUGGCUGAGAAUAUCUAAUCUAAGGAGUGUGGGUCUGUGUGAUUUCUCUUGGGGCUAUGCCAACAGUUCCCCUGCACAUCUUUCUGUCUGUUCACUAUUACCUAAGGUGCAUUUACACAGUUGUAUGAUUCUGUGUGUAUGGGGCAGCAGAAAGGGCUACUCAUACAUGUCCAAAUACUUUGCUUUUGAAUACACGUGUGUUUCCAUUUAUGAUUUUCUCUGUUGGUGUUUUUUGUUUGUCUCUUCUGUAAAUCUUGGAAAGUGCCAUGCUAGCCAAAUAAAAGCUGCUGGGAUCAUUAACACUUCUGUCCUGAUGGGAAACAUGGAUUCCGUAAGAAAUCUCUGCAUAUAUGGUCCACUGAGAGCUUCCAAAGAGGGAUGUGAGAAAAGGAGGGAUGGGGUGUAAUGAAUGCCGCCAUCCGCUUGCCAGAGGGGGAACUAGGGUCAACCAAAGGGAGCCAACCACAGAGUUGGCAGAAGCAAACCUCUGCUGGGCUGGUUAAGACCAGAACUGGAUGGGUGUCCGGAAUGCAGAUUUCCAGGGAGCUGCCUCUAUGCCUUUGAGCUGCUGCUCCUUCUCCUUUAUAAUCUCUCCCGUUAGCUCUUUCCCUCCAGUAGAGAAGUUCAUAUUUGGUGAUGCCUCCACUGCCAAGAACCUUAAAGACCUGACAAAGGUUUCAUAAGGUUAUUUGGGGACUGUUUAUCCAUCAGGUGCUCUGGUUAAUGAACUCAAGGCCAGGCGGGGCUGCAUCCUGUGGACAGAAUACUCAGAGAAAAUUUCCUCCCAGCUACGCAGGAUGCAAACACAUCCCACACACUCUUCCACAGCAGGUUGAGUGCCUUUGCAGGUGGGGGCCUAUUUUAAGGCAAUCUUUAAACACACACACACACACUCAGAAGUGAGGUCUGUUCACUUGCUUAGCAUCCAGAAUAAGAGACGGCUUAGUCAUCCCAGGGUUCAGAGCUGACACGUGUCCAGUCCUUUGUGGCUGCCUCUCCCUGAUUUAAGUAGCACAAGAGGAAGCAAAAUGUCCUGGGUCACGUCUCAAUGAAACAAGAUUUGGGUGGCAGGGAGAGCCUGGGGGAAGGCAAUGUGGUGGGGAGGGUUUGGGGGGAAAUUCUCAGUGCACUGAAGCUGUCCAUCAUUUUUUUUUUUUAAGUUGCACUUUGUUAUAACAAUGUGACCUGGUUCAGGGGUGCUGUGCAGGGGGCUCUUUCAUGUGGAAAGAGUGUGUGAAAUUAUAAAACAUAAAGUUAUUUGAAUUUGUCAACACACAGCCACAUUCUUAAUUAAGAUGGUAGAAGUUUGGGAGUUCCCGUUGUGGCGCAGCGGAAAUGAAUCUGGCUAGGAACCAUGAGGUUGCGAGUUCGGUCUCUGGCCUCGAUCAUGUCUGUAACAGCACUGGAUUGGGUGUCUUGCGUGGCAAUGAUGGUCAACCUACCUUAGGAUCUACAAACUGUGAAGAAAAUGCUUUCUGUAGCUGAAAAGAGACUGGCCCUGAAUCACCCUAGUGAUGGAGCUGGGCUAGGUCUUGGCUUCCUGACUCCCCGACUGGGGCUCUGCCUCCUCCAGGACUGGGUCAAGGUGAAAGGCAUUUAUUCCCAUAAACAGGGCCAUUUAAGUAUGCAAGUCCUGGAGCUACUCCUAGUGGGAAAGUUGGUAUCGGGUAUCUAUAUCUCCCCCUCCACCCUCAGCCCGCAUCUUCUUCCUCACCCCUCUGCCAGACACACUGCCUCCCCAGUGAUUGAAUUCACCUUUUAGCUCACCGGGUGCCAAACCUCACAUGGGAUCAAGAUGAAAAGAGAGGAAGAAGGAAGAGACGCAGAGGGAAAACAACGUUAAAAGUAGCUUACUUUUUCAAGGAAGAAGGAAAAGGAGUUCCCGCUAUAGCUUAGCAGGUUAAGAACCCGACUGGUAUCCAUGAGAAUGCAGGAUCCAUCCCUGGCCUCCCUCAGCGGGUGAAGGAUCCAGGGUUGCUCU